CCGUACAUGCACGCAGCUGAUCAGCCAUUCCGCGUGCAGGAUGAAGGCCUUCGGGUUGUAACUGCUUUUGUACAGAACGAAGAGGCUCUGGUUAAUACCCGGGGCUCAUGACGGUACUGUAAGAAUAAGCACCGGCUAACUACGUGCCAGCAGCCGCGGUAAU
RNAcentral lists this ribosomal RNA (163 nucleotides) under uncultured freshwater bacterium. Its description in RNAcentral is "partial 16S ribosomal RNA". The stretch from base 34 to 163 matches the Rfam family "Bacterial small subunit ribosomal RNA", at positions 401 to 524 of the family's 1533-position model. The record is from RNAcentral.